UGAGCAACCUACCGAAAUGUGGGGAUAGCCGGCCUAACGGCCGAGUAAUACCGCAUACACUCUCGAUGAGGCAUUUCAUUGAGAGGAAACCUACGGGACAUUUCGAGGGCUCGCGGCCUAUCAGCUAGUUGGCGAGGUAACGGCUCACCAAGGCAACGACGGGUAGCUGGUCUGAGAGGAUGGCCAGCCACAUUGGGACUGAGAUACGGCCCAGACUCCGUACGGGAGCAG
This 231-nucleotide ribosomal RNA is filed under the name uncultured bacterium. RNAcentral describes it as "partial 16S ribosomal RNA". It matches the Rfam family "Bacterial small subunit ribosomal RNA", at positions 118 to 347 of the family's 1533-position model. The record is from RNAcentral.